CAAAAGAAGCAUGAGAGAAGUGUGAAAAUCAAGAAUGGAGUUUUCAUUUUCUGAAUUCAAGAUUCCUCUAUUUUCAGAAGAUCAAAUGAGGAACUGUCACCUUGCAGGGAACAGCUGUUUUCUGUGGCAGAUGGGAAGAAGGGAUGUGGCCAAUGACAAUUAUCCCUUAAAGCUGCCCCGGAAUUGACACGUCUCUUUGCUCCUACCUCUUUGAAUGAACUAGUCUCAUGCCCAUGCUGACUCCAAGGGGCCAAGAGAUGCAAUCCAACCAUCUGACUGGGACGAACCAGAAGGAUAACUCUGGAAACAUUGCGUCGACUGGUUUGGAAGGGAAGCAAGAUGGCGGCAAUGAGAAGAUACUGAGUGCUCUUUUUUGGAACCACCUUGUUUCCUCUGAACUUUACAACAUUACUGUUAUGCUAAUGGAGAAAGAAGAGGUCUGUGUUCGCCAAUAAUGUGAAAGUAUUUGAACUUGAGGAAGAUGGCUGGAAAAUAUUAGCUGUUAUUUCUUAUCAUGAAAACAGACUUGAAGCAGAAUCUCUCCAUUCUUUGCUCAUUCUCCUGGAUGCUUGGAAGUGUUAGGAUCAGACAAGAUAACUCCAUGAUCAUAUUUGAUAAGCAGAUCAGCCUCAUCUGUGAAGAUGGUGAUGGUGGUCAUGGUGGUGAUGAUGACGACAGUGGUGAUGGUGAGGUGCUGAUGAGGGUAAUGAUGAUGACGAUGAUGAUAGUGACGAUGAUUUCGUCUCUGUCCCCACUGAUCUAUUAAAAACCUUAAGAAGCUUUUAGGUCUCAGCUACUGCGACGACGACUAGUCAGUGAUCAAAACAAUUGAGUUCAAAGAAGACAUGAUCAAAGACGAGUGGCUUGCUCCGUGUGGUGUCUCCACUGCUUGGAAGUGUUUUUGCUUUAACAUUCAUCCUCCGUUAUUGGAUGGUGAUGGCUGAAGUGGUGGCCAGUAGCCCAUUCUUGACUAUUGUGGACAGACACGGAGAAACCGAUGUAGGCAAAAUGGGCCCUUGUGAUUCCAGAGCAUACUGAAGAUCCUGCCAACUUUCAGAGAUCACGUGAUAUAUUUUAUGCUAAAGAGAAACUGAGAAAACAAGAAAAUAGGGAUUCUCUGCCUAGCAUGUGCAAAUUAGAACCACCACCUCUGCUUUCUCUAGUAAUUACAUCACAGUGGACUGGUUAGAUUUCAAUAUAAGUUUACACACACAAGCACACACAUGAGAGAACAGUAUAAAAGUUUUCUUUGAUGUUGUUACUGAUGUCAACCUCUAUAAGCUUUAGAAUAUGUGCUAAUUUUUGAUAAAGAGGUGUGUAUAUAUACAAAAAUAUAGUAUAUAAAAA
This 1347-nucleotide long non-coding RNA is filed under the name Equus caballus (horse). RNAcentral's name for it is "lncRNA (ENSECAG00000042521.2)". The record is from RNAcentral. Lineage: Eukaryota; Metazoa; Chordata; Mammalia; Perissodactyla; Equidae.